UGUUCGCCAUUUAAAGUGGUACGCGAGCUGGGUUUAGAACGUCGUGAGACAGUUCGGUCCCUAUCUGCCGUGGGCGCUGGAGAACUGAGGGGGGCUGCUCCUAGUACGAGAGGACCGGAGUGGACGCAUCACUGGUGUUCGGGUUGUCAUGCCAAUGGCACUGCCCGGUAGCUAAAUGCGGAAGAGAUAAGUGCUGAAAGCAUCUAAGCACGAAACUUGCCCCGAGAUGAGUUCUCCCUGACUCCUUGAGAGUCCUGAAGGAACGUUGAAGACGACGACGUUGAUAGGCCGGGUGUGUAAGCGCAGCGAUGCGUUGAGCUAACCGGUACUAAUGAACCGUGAGGCUUAACCUU
This 353-nucleotide ribosomal RNA is filed under the name Escherichia coli. RNAcentral describes it as "partial 23S ribosomal RNA". It matches the Rfam family "Bacterial large subunit ribosomal RNA", at positions 2578 to 2925 of the family's 2925-position model. RNAcentral also lists the same sequence under 1 other name. Lineage: Bacteria; Pseudomonadati; Pseudomonadota; Gammaproteobacteria; Enterobacterales; Enterobacteriaceae. The record is from RNAcentral.